GUGUGGCUAUACAAUAGUGCAUUAUUAUAAUAAACAUACUAUGACAUAUAUUAUAUCAAUGAGUGUGUAUCAUGAUGUAGGGAAAUAAAAUUAUGUUGUAUAAAAGAAACGCGAUUCGAUACGCGAAAAUGUGCAUUUAUACGUUUCAAUACGCGUAAUCACGUUUAAUGCGCGUCGCUAUUGAUACGCGUAAUCACACACUUUUCAAUCCGCAUAAGUAUGUAGGUAAUCACGUAUAACCGUUUCAGUAUAAGUGUGGCUAUACAAUAGUGCAUUAUUAUUAUAAUAAACAUACUACCUAUGACAUAUUUUUAUAACGAUGUGUUAUCUGAUGUAGAUAUUUUUGCCGUCUCUUUAUCUAAAUCUUUAUCGAAAUUAUGUAUGACUGUUUGUCUCUAAGUAAAUAAAUAAAUAAAAUAAAUAAAUAGACAUAUAAAUGAGUGUGUAUCAUGAUGUAGGGAAAUAAAAUUAUGUUGUAUAAAAGAAACGCGAUAUGAUACGCGUAAAUGUGCAUUU
Non-coding RNA from Plutella xylostella (diamondback moth), 516 nucleotides. Lineage: Eukaryota; Metazoa; Arthropoda; Insecta; Lepidoptera; Plutellidae. The record is from RefSeq and is a predicted model, not a curated record.